This is a non-coding RNA of Vicia faba (fava bean), 294 nucleotides long. Lineage: Eukaryota; Viridiplantae; Streptophyta; Magnoliopsida; Fabales; Fabaceae. The record is from the annotation of a GenBank genome assembly.
AUGUGUUGGAUGGACCAGCAAUUAACCUUGUGGUUGCACUGGAAUUUGGUUGGUGCGGUGGAGUUUCCUGUUGAAGCUGGGAGUAGGUCUAUAGUUUAUUCGAUCUUCUUCAUUUCUUCGUUCGUCUUAAGCUUCCUCAUUUCUGCCGUCGCCGCCGUUCAUUCCUUCCUCUUCAGUCGUCGUCGCCGCCGUUCGUUCCUUCCUCUUCAGUCGUCGCCGCCGCCGUUCGUUCCUUCCUCUUCAGUCGUCGCCGCCGCCGGUCAUUCCGUCUUCUCCACCUUGGUAAGAUUCUGA